AGCAUCCGCAUCUCCCCGGUGAGCGACAGUUAUUAAAUCUCACAUUUCAAGAAAUCAUAAGUCGUUUCCAAAUCAAAACAAUAAAAUAUUAUUUUCUAGCUCACAAGGGCAUUUUUGUCAUUUUUUUUCAAAAAUAUCGAAACCCGCCAAAAACAUGGUGUAAAAGAUAAAUAUAUUCAUACAUACUUUAAAUCAGAUAACUGAAGUAUAAAAUUUCUUUUACAGUGACACGUGGGCCCCCAACUGACCAAGAAGGUGUAGGGCUACGAACCCUUACUUUCUAGGAUGAAACUCCGAGAUUAAUUCUCGUCUUAAUCAACUAUCAACAAACUGUCCUGAGCCUGAAAAAUGGAUAGGAAGAGGGGUGAGAUUAUGAUUACAUAAUCCCAGUGAGUAAACAGACACCAUCUAAACUAUCUAAAGGCGAGUAAAGGGAGACAAUUAAAAAUAGUUCAUUUCAGUAAAUUUUUCACAACACGAAUAUUCAUUUCAACCAAAUAAUCAAUAUGGCUCGUGAAUUUCUCAAAACUUGGCUCCUGCCAAAAUCAUUCUCUCAAGUACCUUCGUCAAGGUAUCCCAUUGAGACCGCCAAGGCUAUUAAAUGUCCUAUACCCAUAAACAUGUUUUCGCAUCUGACACACAGUCGUUCCUUGGCAUUGGUUGAGUCUCACUCUCACGCGAUGGUUACUGUGAAGUGCACUCAAAAAGCCUACCGCAGGAGAUACCCUACGCGCUU
Molecule: long non-coding RNA, 736 nt
Filed under: Theobroma cacao (cacao)
Lineage: Eukaryota; Viridiplantae; Streptophyta; Magnoliopsida; Malvales; Malvaceae
Description: long non-coding RNA (TCAC_LNC002563)
Source: RNAcentral